CCUACGGGUGGCUGCAGUGAGGAAUAUUGGUCAAUGGACGAGAGUCUGAACCAGUCAAGUCGCGUGCAGGAUGACUGCCCUAUGGGUUGUAAACUUCUUUUAUACAGGGGUAAACCUAGACACGUGUGUCUUUCUGCAUGUACUUUAUGAAUAAGGAUCGGCUAACUCCGUGCCAGCAGCCGCGGUAAUACGGAGGAUCCGAGCGUUAUCCGGAUUUAUUGGGUUUAAAGGGAGCGUAGAUGGAUUGUUAAGUUAGUUGUGAAAGUUUGCGGCUCAACGGGAGAAUUGCAACUAAUACUGGUAGUCUAGAGUGCAGAUGCGGUAGGCGGAAUUCGUGGUGUAGCGGUGAAAUGCUUAGAUAUCACGCAGAACCCCGAUUGCGAAGGCAGCUUACUAAUCUGUGACUGACAUUGAGGCUCGAAAGUGUGGGUAGCAAACAGGAUUAGAUACCCCUGUAGUC
RNAcentral lists this ribosomal RNA (460 nucleotides) under uncultured bacterium. RNAcentral describes it as "partial 16S ribosomal RNA". It matches the Rfam family "Bacterial small subunit ribosomal RNA", at positions 338 to 795 of the family's 1533-position model. The record is from RNAcentral.